RNAcentral lists this ribosomal RNA (485 nucleotides) under uncultured bacterium. RNAcentral's name for it is "partial 16S ribosomal RNA". It matches the Rfam family "Bacterial small subunit ribosomal RNA", at positions 30 to 507 of the family's 1533-position model. The record is from RNAcentral.
AUUGAACGCUGGCGGCAUGCCUUACACAUGCAAGUCGAACGGCAGCACGGGUGCUUGCACCUGGUGGCGAGUGGCGAACGGGUGAGUAAUACAUCGGAACAUGUCCUGUAGUGGGGGAUAGCCCGGCGAAAGCCGGAUUAAUACCGCAUACGAUCUACGGAUGAAAGCGGGGGACCUUCGGGCCUCGCGCUAUAGGGUUGGCCGAUGGCUGAUAGCUAGUUGGGGGGGUAAAGGCCUACCAAGGCGACGAUCAGUAGCUGGUCUGAGAGGACGACCAGCCACACUGGGACUGAGACACGGCCCAGACUCCUACGGGAGGCAGCAGUGGGGAAUUUUGGACAAUGGGCGAAAGCCUGAUCCAGCAAUGCCGCGUGUGUGAAGAAGGCCUUCGGGUUGUAAAGCACUUUUGUCCGGAAAGAAAUCCUUGGCCCUAAUACGGUCGGGGGAUGACGGUACCGGAAGAAUAAGCACCGGCUAACUACGUG